GUCUGACAACCAGCUCUGUUGUGUUUGCUUAAAGAAACUGUUUAUCUUGGUCAUUAUCAUUUUGUGGGGCCACUAAGGAGUGGGAACAGCUCAAGAAACGACUUCACUGUGUCCUUCAGGCCCUGGGUGGAUGUUUUGAGAACCUCCAGAGUCAGGGGAUGACCAGUACAAGACUCAAGAAGCCAACAGGACAGGUGGAGGCGCAGAUGAUGAAGAACAGUCUUGGAGUGGAUACCUUGGCUUUUCCCACACUUCCUUUAGCCAGGCAGAAGUCCUGACUGUAUCUUAAAGCUGUAAGUCAUCGUCUAUACCUUGGGUCACUGUCUAAGAUAUUUUCAUAAAGCAGAUAUAUUGUGUUGUUGUUUUACUUUUUAAUUCUGAUUAUUCGACCUAACUGAUUACUCCUUAAGUCCAGAGAUGAAGAUCUUUUUAAGCAAAACUAACUGACCCACACGAGUUGGAAAGGAAUUCUCGUGCCUACAUAUAUACUCUCUUUGAUCAACACCACCAGGCCUGCAGUUACACAGGCAUGUUACACAAAUUGUGCAUAUGAAGGGGUUUAUCCAUUGCUUGAUAUCUAGAGAAGCACAGGGCCUGAGACUAUAGAAAAGUCCUGACAAAGAGGAAGGAGGAACUAUGCUUGCCUGUGGAAAACAGGGAAGCUAACANCUUUUGUCUUUUGUCUUUUUUAGGGCUGCUCCUGUGGCAUAUGGAAGUUCCCAGGCUAGGCAUUAAAUCGGAGCUGUAGCUGCUGGCCUAUGCCAGAGCCAGAGCAACGCUAGAUCCGAGCCACGUCUGCGACCUACACCACAGCUCACAGCAACGCCGGAUCUUUAACCCACUGAGCGAGGCCAGGGAUCAAACUUGCAACCUUGUGGUUCCUAGUCGGAUUUGUUAACCACUGGGCCAUGAUGGGAACUCCUAACAUAAGUUUGGAGUUGAGCCUUGUUGAAUGGCUAGGGUGUGUGUGUGUCCCUAUCCACCAUAUCCAUCUACAGAGAAAAAUAUCUUCAUGAAAGUGUGAAUAGCACACUCUCUGGAGGCAGUGAGGCUUGGAACAAGAUAAAGUAAAUAAGUUUUUUUAAAAAGUGUCUAAAUACCUCAUGAGAAAAAGAGAUUCUACCAACUAAACUGAAAAUAGAGACACUUAAUUAUUAGCAAUGGAGGAAAGAGGGGAGAAAGAAAGCCUCCAUUAUAAACUAAGAGAAUCAGAAUAUUGUUUUCAGUCAGAAGCUUGAGAUGUUUCCGAGUUUUCCUUUUA
RNAcentral lists this long non-coding RNA (1261 nucleotides) under Sus scrofa (pig). RNAcentral's name for it is "lncRNA (ENSSSCG00025023935.1)". The record is from RNAcentral. Lineage: Eukaryota; Metazoa; Chordata; Mammalia; Artiodactyla; Suidae.